Molecule: ribosomal RNA, 492 nt
Filed under: uncultured bacterium
Lineage: Bacteria
Description: partial 16S ribosomal RNA
Rfam family: Bacterial small subunit ribosomal RNA
Source: RNAcentral
AGUGAACGCUGGCGGUAGGCCUAACACAUGCAAGUCGAACGGCAGCACAGUAAGAGCUUGCUCUUACGGGUGGCGAGUGGCGGACGGGUGAGGAAUACAUCGGAAUCUACUUUUUCGUGGGGGAUAACGUAGGGAAACUUACGCUAAUACCGCAUACGACCUACGGGAGAAAGCAGGGGAUCUUCGGACCUUGCGCGAUUGAAUGAGCCGAUGUCGGAUUAGCUAGUUGGCGGGGUAAAGGCCCACCAAGGCGACGAUCCGUAGCUGGGCUGAGAGGAUGAUCCGCCACACUGGAACUGAGACACGGUCCAGACUCCUACGGGAGGCAGCAGUGGGGAAUAUUGGACAAUGGGCGCAAGCCUGAUCCAGCCAUACCGCGUGGGUGAAGAAGGCCUUCGGGUUGUAAAGCCCUUUUGUUGGGAAAGAAAAGCAGCAGGUUAAUACCCCGCUGUUCUGACGGUACCCAAAGAAUAAGCACCGGCUAACUUCGUG